GAGGUGGGGAAUUCAAAGGAAGAGAUAGAGUUAUAGAGAAACAACCACAACACAGCAAGCCCGGCAAGAAACAUGGUUACUUGCAUAACACUUCUCACCCAAAAGUGGCUACCAGAACUCCAUGCCUUAAUGCCGUCGCCAGCGGCGCCCCGCCGGAGGUAUCCUUCAUUGUUUUGAUCGAAGAGCUGAAUUGGAGUGGCAGAAAUAG
RNAcentral lists this long non-coding RNA (208 nucleotides) under Glycine max (soybean). RNAcentral describes it as "long non-coding RNA (GMAX_LNC002032)". Lineage: Eukaryota; Viridiplantae; Streptophyta; Magnoliopsida; Fabales; Fabaceae. The record is from RNAcentral.